AGUAUGAGCUGACCUUCCCACGUCAACACACAGCCCAAGUAAUGCGUUUGCUGUGGCUCCUGGUGGCGAUGGCGGUGACCGUCCUGGCUAAAAUCCCCUACCCUCCUCCGUUCUACCCCGGCUACCCACCAUCCAGUGGAAACCCUAAACCAUUUCACCCCCCACGACCAAAACCCGUAGCACAACCACCACGCAUCUACGUGCCAUGGGGAUGAAUACAGAGACGAGAGCCACCUCACGCCUCACCUGGACACAACACCUGCCUGCUACUGGAGACUCAUUAGCCUGGACUACUUACUGUUACCUGCUGUAAUCGAUACCUGCUCAUCUCUUAACGCUGCUUUUGUCUUCGUGUUGGAGUUCUUUACAAAGACACAGUGCUUUCACUAACCCUGAAUGUACCCCUGCAUAAACUUAUAAAAGAAAAA
Molecule: long non-coding RNA, 428 nt
Organism: Scylla paramamosain (green mud crab)
Lineage: Eukaryota; Metazoa; Arthropoda; Malacostraca; Decapoda; Portunidae
Exons: 2
Source: RefSeq, a predicted model, not a curated record